GGAAAUUCAAGGGGAACUUAUAUCUGAAGAUGCUGCUCAUGAUGGUGAAGCAGAUAAAGGUAUCUGUUAAAGCACAUGAUGCAUGAUAUGAUACACCUUUCAUGCAAAAUGAUGUGUCAGACAUACAUGUAUAAUACACUUUCACCUAUUUUAAGUAGUUUUUGAGAAAAACCAAUUUAAAUUUCACCUAUUUUAAAUAAAUAGUUUUUGAGAAAAACCAAUUCAAAUUUUAUUUCUUAAAAUGAUUAUCAUAUUAGGGUUGAAAAUGGAUGACAAAAAAGUGAAACUGCAUGGAAGCAUUAUGCAUGCAUUGUUAAUGGCACAUGUGGAAUAUUGAAGGUUAAGUGCAAUUGUUGUUCGAAUGAAUAUUGGGAGGUGUUAUUUCAAUGGAACAUGUACCAUUCGAAUAUUAACUUUGAGGAUGAUUUUUGUGUCUUCGUGCCUUUUUUGGUAGUUUGGUUGCUAUUGUUUUGUUUGUAUACACUGUGUAUACCUUUUAAACAUGGCACAUAAACUCACAUAAUUUUUGUAUUCCAUACAAGCAUAUACUAUAUAGUUAUACUUUUAUAUGAUAUAAUUUUUUUGUUGUAUUCGUUCUAGACUUGUACAUGCUUGAACCCUUUGGCAUGUGGCAUGAUGGUAUCUUUUAGUAACUAGUUGGAGUUUAGAACUUUUUUUCCCUCCCAAUUUUAUUACAAACAAACAUUUCAUUGAUAUAAAAUAAUGAAGUUCAAAGAAGAAUGAUAAUUUCUUACCCCCUCAGGGAGGUAGAAAUCCCCCACAGAAGAGAUCAAAUUUUUAGCUCCUUGAUUUCCUAAACAAAUUCACCAAAUGAUCGGCAAAGUGAGAAAUCAAACAAAAGGGGCACCUCAAUUCUGAAGCAAUAUAAAAGAUUUGGUGAAGCCUUGCAUCCAACUUCCAUGAGCCUCUUUCUUUCUUAUUCAUCUAAGGAAUGACCACCUUUGAAUCUCCCUCCAUUGAAAGAUAGGAAAGACCCUUAGCUUCAGUGAGCUUCAACCUUUCCAACAAGGCUAGAGCCUUUGCCUUAAUGGCUAGAACCUCUCCUGUAUGUUUAGAGAAUCCUGUUACAAAGCUAGUGUUUCAAGCUGAUUCCUGAGUGUCCAUCAAAUUCAUAUUUGUCCUGGAUUAUCCCAGAUUACUUGAAGAGUAUCCAUCCAAAUUUAGUUUAACACAACCCACUAGAGGAGUCCAAAUAGGGAGUGUCUCCUUUGACAGCCUAGUGGAUUUGUCCACUAGGUUCCAUUCUAGCAAUAUAAUAAACAAAGGAAUGCCCUCAAAUGUUACACAAGCUGACAUCCAAAAGGAAACGGAGAAAUGGAAUAAAUCUCACAAUGCCUUAAAAGUCCUUCAUCUAUCCUAAAAAAUCUUGCGUUCUUCUCCCUUCAUCCCACUGAACAGUCCAUAUUAAGGUGUGACUAGCAAUACAUCAUAAUGACUUGCCUCUAGGAAGACUUUCAAAACCUGGGUAAGAAAUAAUCGACAUCUCCACCACACUUCGAGGUGAAACCCAGUCAAUCCCAGCAACAUACA
This 1551-nucleotide long non-coding RNA is filed under the name Vitis vinifera (wine grape). RNAcentral describes it as "long non-coding RNA (VVIN_LNC001320)". Lineage: Eukaryota; Viridiplantae; Streptophyta; Magnoliopsida; Vitales; Vitaceae. The record is from RNAcentral.